RNAcentral lists this ribosomal RNA (310 nucleotides) under uncultured bacterium. RNAcentral's name for it is "partial 16S ribosomal RNA". It matches the Rfam family "Bacterial small subunit ribosomal RNA", at positions 503 to 807 of the family's 1533-position model. The record is from RNAcentral.
AAGAGACAGCAGCCGCCGCGGUAAUACAGAGGGUGCGAGCGUUAAUCGGAUUUACUGGGCGUAAAGCGUGCGUAGGCGGCUUUUUAAGUCGGAUGUGAAAUCCCUGAGCUUAACUUAGGAAUUGCAUUCGAUACUGGGAAGCUAGAGUAUGGGAGAGGAUGGUAGAAUUCCAGGUGUAGCGGUGAAAUGCGUAGAGAUCUGGAGGAAUACCGAUGGCGAAGGCAGCCAUCUGGCCUAAUACUGACGCUGAGGUACAAAAGCAUGGGGAGCAAACAGGAUUAGAUACCCGAGUAGUCCCUGUCUCUUAUAC